RNAcentral lists this ribosomal RNA (630 nucleotides) under Lecythis sp. YYH-2011. RNAcentral's name for it is "eukaryotic LSU rRNA". The stretch from base 235 to 390 matches the Rfam family "5.8S ribosomal RNA". The record is from RNAcentral. Lineage: Eukaryota; Viridiplantae; Streptophyta; Magnoliopsida; Ericales; Lecythidaceae.
AACAAGGUUUCCGUAGGUGAACCUGCGGAAGGAUCAUUGUCGAAGCCUCCACGGACGACCCGCGAACUUGUUCAUUUUACGCCUGGCGGCGGCGGCGGGGGGCCGAGUCCCCCCGGCGGCCCCGACAACGAACCCCGGCGCGGGACGCGCCAAGGACAACCCCGACGAGAUGGCACGCCCCCGGCGCCCGUUCGCGGGCGACGCGGGGCGGUGGCCUCUUUCGCGAACCGAAACGACUCUCGGCAACGGAUAUCUCGGCUCUCGCAUCGAUGAAGAACGUAGCGAAAUGCGAUACUUGGUGUGAAUUGCAGAAUCCCGCGAACCAUCGAGUCUUUGAACGCAAGUUGCGCCCGAAGCCGUCAGGCCGAGGGCACGUCUGCCUGGGCGUCUCGCAACGCGUCGCCCCCCGACCCCCUCCUGCGGGGGCGCCGGGGGGCGGACACUGGCCCCCCGUGAGCCGCGGCUCGCGGUCGGCCCAAAGACCGAGCCGCCGACGACGGACGGCGCGGCGAGUGGUGGAGCACGACGCGCCGCGCCCGUCUCCGUGGGCGGUCUCGCGCGACCCCGAAGCGGCGAGAGCAUCGACCGCGACCCCAGGUCAGGCGGGAUCACCCGCUGAGUUUAAGCAUA